UACGGAGGAUCCGAGCGUUAUCCGGAUUUAUUGGGUUUAAAGGGUGCGUAGGCGGGUUAUUAAGUCAGUGGUGAAAGCCUUCAGCUCAACUGAAGAAUUGCCAUUGAUACUGAUGAUCUUGAGUGUGAUUGAGGUGGGCGGAAUGUGUCAUGUAGCGGUGAAAUGCUUAGAUAUGACACAGAACACCGAUUGCGAAGGCAGCUCACUAAGUCACAACUGACGCUGAUGCACGAAAGCGUGGGGAGCAAACAGG
Molecule: ribosomal RNA, 253 nt
Filed under: uncultured bacterium
Lineage: Bacteria
Description: partial 16S ribosomal RNA
Rfam family: Bacterial small subunit ribosomal RNA
Source: RNAcentral